UACGGAGGGUGCAAGCGUUAUCCGGAUUUACUGGGUUUAAAGGGUGCGUAGGUGGGGCGUUAAGUCAGUGGUGAAAUCCUGCAGCUUAACUGUAGAAUCGCCAUUGAUACUGUCGCUCUUGAGUACGCUUGACGUGGGCGGAAUGUGCCGUGUAGCGGUGAAAUGCUUAGAUAUGGCACAGAACACCGAUAGUGAAGACAGCUCACGAAGGCGAAACUGACACUGAGGCACGAAAGCGUGGGGAUUGAACAGG
Molecule: ribosomal RNA, 253 nt
Filed under: uncultured bacterium
Lineage: Bacteria
Description: partial 16S ribosomal RNA
Rfam family: Bacterial small subunit ribosomal RNA
Source: RNAcentral